GAUGAACGCUGGCGGCGUGCCUAAUACAUGCAAGUCGAACGCACAGCAAAAGGUGCUUGCACCUUUCAAGUGAGUGGCGAACGGGUGAGUAACACGUGGACAACCUGCCUCAAGGCUGGGGAUAACAUUUGGAAACAGAUGCUAAUGCCGAAUAAAACUCAGUGUCGCAUGACACAAAGUUAAAAGGCGCUUUGGCGUCACCUAGAGAUGGAUCCGCGGUG
Molecule: ribosomal RNA, 221 nt
Filed under: uncultured bacterium
Lineage: Bacteria
Description: partial 16S ribosomal RNA
Rfam family: Bacterial small subunit ribosomal RNA
Source: RNAcentral